Molecule: non-coding RNA, 767 nt
Filed under: Dipetalogaster maximus
Lineage: Eukaryota; Metazoa; Arthropoda; Insecta; Hemiptera; Reduviidae
Source: RNAcentral
UCAAAGUUUGAUUCUAGCUUGUUAAAUUUGCCUUUUUUUAAUUGUACAUGUAAAUAUUUGUGCGGUAGCUUAAUCUAAAAGUUAUAUUGGUCGUAUAUUCGCAGUUCUUUAUUUUAUUUAUUAUAUAAGUAUAGAUUUAGUUAAUUGAAGGAGCUCUGACUAACAUUGUGCCAGCAGUCGCGGUUAUACAAUGGGGGCAAGUAAAUUUAUAUUGGUUUAUAUUUAAUUUGUUGUAAUCUGUCUUAAUUUGGAAUUUUGGGGUGAAAUCAAUAUUCCAUGUCAGAUGGUUUUUAAUGAUUAAAAUAUGAUAGUUCAGAAUGAAACUGGGAUUAGAGACCCCAUUAUUAUGAAUGUUAAAUUUAUAAUCUUAGUAUUAAUAGUUAUGAUCUUUAAAUUAAAAGAAUUUGGCGGUAAUUUAGUCUGUUCAGAGGAAUCUGCCCCGUAAUCGAUGACCCACGAUGAAUUUUACUUUAUCUAGGCUUGUAUAUCUCUGUCAUUGAAUGUCUUAUAAGGGUAUUUUCAUAAAUUAUUAUUGUGGAAGAUGUCAGGUCAAGGUGCAGCGAUGGUAAAGUGGAGGUGGAUUACAUUAAAAGUAUUUAUGGAGAAGUUUAUGGAAAUAACUUUGAAAUUGGAUUUGAGAGUAAGUUUUAUUAGAAAGUAGAGUUGAUUAAGCUCUAAAUUAUGCACAUAUCGCCCGUCACUCUCGUUUAUUAAAAUGAGAUAAGUCGUAACAAAGUAGGCUUAUUGGAAAGUGAGCCUGGUAUUAU